AAAGGAGUAUUCGUACUCUUAAACCCUUUGUGAACCUUACCUAUCGUCAGUUGCUUCGGCGGGAGGCCCCUGGGAGGGGCCCCGGGGCCCGGCCUGAGCCGGGCUCCCGCCGGAGGAGCGCAAACCAAACUCUUGCUGUACCUCAGUGGAACAUCCGAGUUAAAACAAAUAAACAAGUUAAAACUUUCAACAACGGAUCUCUUGGUUCUGGCAUCGAUGAAGAACGCAGCGAAAUGCGAUAAGUAAUGUGAAUUGCAGAAUUCAGUGAAUCAUCGAAUCUUUGAACGCACAUUGCGCCCGCCAGUAUUCUGGCGGGCAUGCCUGUUCGAGCGUCAUUUCAACCACUCAGGCCCUGGUGCCUGGCGUCGGGGUGUUCCGCCUCACGGCGGAAGCCCCUAGAGACAGUGGCGGACCCGCCGCGGCUCCGAGCGCAGUAGUAAAAUAUCUCRCUAUGGAGGUCCGCGGGGGGGCUUACCG
This 477-nucleotide ribosomal RNA is filed under the name fungal endophyte. RNAcentral's name for it is "eukaryotic LSU rRNA". The stretch from base 182 to 335 matches the Rfam family "5.8S ribosomal RNA". The record is from RNAcentral. Lineage: Eukaryota; Fungi.